This 435-nucleotide long non-coding RNA is filed under the name Gallus gallus (chicken). The record is from RNAcentral. Lineage: Eukaryota; Metazoa; Chordata; Aves; Galliformes; Phasianidae.
UUGGUGUUGGAAAUUAUCUCCUCUUGGCUCAGUUUGUCCAGUUUCUCCUCCCUUGGGUACACCAUGGUGGACAUAGUCCUGGUCCUGCAGCCCUGGAUGCCUGCAGCGGCUUGUCCAGCGCCGGCACUCCCGGAUGCCCCAGAGCUGUGGAGAAGCACAGGCGGCGGCGAGGCGCAGCUCCGACGACGAGUGCCGCGCUGCCCUCCGUUCUAGCAGAAACGCAGCACCAGGCGCUCAGCAGCCAACCACACUGCGGCAGGGGGAGGGGAGGAGAUGCAGACAGGCUCCAGAGGCAUUACGUUGGGCGCUCUGCUGCGAGCGCAGAAAGCGCCACACACACACCAAGCCCUGCGCUCCCAUCUCUAGGGAUCCACGGGAGCCGAGCCAGCAAACCGCUCCUGAGUGCCGACCGAGGUACAAGAGGCUGAAUUUCGC